RNAcentral lists this microRNA precursor (61 nucleotides) under Pristionchus pacificus. RNAcentral's name for it is "mir-8364 microRNA precursor family". It matches the Rfam family "mir-8364 microRNA precursor family". The record is from Rfam by way of RNAcentral. Lineage: Eukaryota; Metazoa; Nematoda; Chromadorea; Rhabditida; Neodiplogasteridae.
UCUUCAUUUCACGUGCUCUCUCGCUGGUUAGAGUGACGAUAGAGUGUGCGAAAUGAAGAGA